GGGUUGUGAGGUUAAGCGACUAAGCGUACACGGUGGAUGCCCUGGCAGUCAGAGGCGAUGAAGGGCGUGCUAAUCUGCGAUAAGCGCCGGUAAGGUGAUAUGAACCGUUAUAACCGGCGAUACCCGAAUGGGGAAACCCAGUGUGAUUCGUCACACUAUCAUUAACUGAAUCCAUAGGUUAAUGAGGCGAACCGGGGGAACUGAAACAUCUAAGUACCCCGAGGAAAAGAAAUCAACCGAGAUUCCCCCAGUAGCGGCGAGCGAACGGGGAGGAGCCCAGAGCCUGAAUCAGCAUGUGUGUUAGUGGAAGCGUCUGGAAAGGCGCGCGAUACAGGGUGACAGCCCCGUACACAAAAGCGCAUGUGCUGUGAGCUCGAUGAGUAGGGCGGGACACGUGGUAUCCUGUCUGAAUAUGGGGGGACCAUCCUCCAAGGCUAAAUACUCCUGACUGACCGAUAGUGAACCAGUACCGUGAGGGAAAGGCGAAAAGAACCCCGGCGAGGGGAGUGAAAAAGAACCUGAAACCGUGUACGUACAAGCAGUGGGAGCACAGGUUUACCUGUGUGACUGCGUACCUUUUGUAUAAUGGGUCAGCGACUUAUAUUCUGUAGCAAGGUUAACCGUAUAGGGGAGCCGGAGGGAAACCGAGUCUUAAUUGGGCGUUAAGUUGCAGGGUAUAGACCCGAAACCCGGUGAUCUAGCCAUGGGCAGGUUGAAGGUUGGGUAACACUAACUGGAGGACCGAACCGACUAAUGUUGAAAAAUUAGCGGAUGACCUGUGGCUGGGGGUGAAAGGCCAAUCAAACCGGGAGAUAGCUGGUUCUCCCCGAAAGCUAUUUAGGUAGCGCCUCGUGAAUUCAUCUCCGGGGGUAGAGCACUGUUUCGGCUAGGGGGCCAUCCCGGCUUACCAACCCGAUGCAAACUGCGAAUACCGGAGAAUGUUAUCACGGGAGACACACGGCGGGUGCUAACGUCCGUCGUGAAGAGGGAAACAACCCAGACCGCCAGCUAAGGUCCCAAAGUCAUGGUUAAGUGGGAAACGAUGUGGGAAGGCCCAGACAGCCAGGAUGUUGGCUUAGAAGCAGCCAUCAUUUAAAGAAAGCGUAAUAGCUCACUGGUCGAGUCGGCCUGCGCGGAAGAUGUAACGGGGCUAAACCAUGCACCGAAGCUGCGGCAGCGAACGUAUCACCCAAGACAACUUUACGGAGUUGACGAUUGACGGAGCGAAGCGACGUCAAAGCGUUCAUUAAAGUCGAGUUGGCUUAGGGAUACGUUCGUUGGGUAGGGGAGCGUUCUGUAAGCCUGUGAAGGUGUGUCGUGAGGCAUGCUGGAGGUAUCAGAAGUGCGAAUGCUGACAUAAGUAACGAUAAAGCGGGUGAAAAGCCCGCUCGCCGGAAGACCAAGGGUUCCUGUCCAACGUUA
Molecule: ribosomal RNA, 1422 nt
Filed under: Salmonella enterica subsp. enterica serovar Typhimurium
Lineage: Bacteria; Pseudomonadati; Pseudomonadota; Gammaproteobacteria; Enterobacterales; Enterobacteriaceae
Description: bacterial LSU rRNA
Rfam family: Bacterial large subunit ribosomal RNA
Source: RNAcentral